This 73-nucleotide transfer RNA is filed under the name Sandaracinaceae bacterium. RNAcentral describes it as "tRNA-Val". Lineage: Bacteria; Pseudomonadati; Myxococcota; Polyangiales; Sandaracinaceae. The record is from RNAcentral.
GAUCCAGUAGCUCAGCCGGCAGAGCGCCAGCGCGACGAGCUGGAGGCCGUGGGAUCGAAGCCCACCUGGAUCA